UUGCGCUGAUGUGGCCUAACUGACGCAAGCGCCGCGAGGCGUGGUCGGCCCCGCAGAGGCCCGCUGGGAGCCGGGAAGGAGCAUGCGCGGAAGCCCGGUAGGGCGCGGGCCGCUGACCAUGGCGAAGAAGCGGGGCCAAGACGAAGACCCUGGUCCCAGCCCGUCGGUGCUGUUCCUGCACCCCGACCUGGGCGUGGGCGGCGCCGAGCGGCUGGUGCUGGACGCGGCAUUGGCGCUGCAGGCGCGCGGAUGUAGCGUCAAGAUCUGGACGGCGCACUACGAUCCCGGCCACAGCUUCGCGGACAGCCGCGAGCUGCAGGUGCGCUGCGCCGGGGACUGGCUCCCGCGCAGCCUGGGCUGGGGCGGCCGCGGCGCCGCGGUCUGCGCCUACGUGCGCAUGAUCUUCCUGGCGCUCUACGUGCUGUUCCUCGGGGACGUGGAGUUCGACGUGGUCGUGUGCGACCAGGUGAGGCGGCCGCGAGUGCGGCCACGCCCGACCCUCGCCUCGCCUCCUUUUCCCGCUAGGGAGGGCGCACUGCAUGGCCUCUGGUGAGCUCUCCCGGCCUGCGGUUCGGAGAGAUCGGAACUGAUCUGGAGAGAAGAGAACUGGGAGUGAGACUGGUUCUCGAACUUUAGUGUGGACACAUUAAAGUUGCACGGUGUUACAGGGCCCCACCCUCAGAAGCUUUCAUCCUGGAGUCCUGAGGUGGGGCCCAGAAAUCUGCAUUUUCGCUGGAUCUUCGGGCAAUUCUGAAGUAGAUGGGUCUUGGGGCUGCUCUGAGAAACGCAAGCAUUAGAAGUCAACCCUAAGUCACCUUUUCCUUCUGAGUAACGUGUAGGUCUUCCCCUCUUUGCAUUAAUUAUGUUGACUCUACUUCCAGGCCACAUGCAUCCCACUGUCUUAGUUUUUGCAGACAGGCCACUUCGUUUGUGCGCGGUGUCGUGUUAAAAACACCGAGUGAAACAUGUCAUGCCCUGUUAAAGCUUAACAUGGCUUCCUGUUAGUCUUGGGAGAAGUUAGAGUUCUUUACCUCAGUAAAUAAUGUCCACCUGCAUCUGGGCUCUAGCUGUUUUGGACUCUACGCUUUUUCUUCCCCAAAAGUAAUUUAUCUUAAAAAGUAACAUUUACUCAACAAAAAUUCAAAGAGUAUAAAAGAGUGUAAUGUAGGGACGCCUGGGUGGCUCAGUUGGUUAAGCGACUGCCUUCGGCUCAGGUCAU
This is a non-coding RNA of Leptonychotes weddellii (Weddell seal), 1219 nucleotides long. The record is from RefSeq and is a predicted model, not a curated record. Lineage: Eukaryota; Metazoa; Chordata; Mammalia; Carnivora; Phocidae.